This 328-nucleotide long non-coding RNA is filed under the name Olea europaea subsp. europaea. The record is from RNAcentral. Lineage: Eukaryota; Viridiplantae; Streptophyta; Magnoliopsida; Lamiales; Oleaceae.
UUUUUUUUUUGCCACAUCAAAAAGCUUAUACAUUAUGCAAGCUCUUUUAAGCAUAGCAGUUCAGAAGAGAUGUUGCAAAUGGUUUGUUACAUAAUCCAAGCUUCGAACAGAAGGUUCCUUACAGCAAGGGUCUAGAUAUCCAGAUUUUCCAAAUAUUAAGAAAAUAACAGAUAAUAAUUUAACGGCCUUGACCACGACCACGUCCACGUCCUCUUCCCCUACCACAGCCCAAAGGCCUCCCUGCAGUAGGCUUCUUGGGCUUCACUCUAGGAGUCUCUUCAACAAGCAAAGUUUCCAGAUUUAAGCUGUCGGGAAGGAUGUAGUAACG